Molecule: long non-coding RNA, 522 nt
Filed under: Anser cygnoides (Swan goose)
Lineage: Eukaryota; Metazoa; Chordata; Aves; Anseriformes; Anatidae
Description: lncRNA (ENSACDG00005011813.1)
Source: RNAcentral
AUGUACUGCAUGUUCUCCGGGGGGGCGAGCAGCAGGCUGGCAGGCGGCUGGGUCGGAGAGGACAUCUGGAGCAGCCGGUGGAGAAGCUUCCCGGGGGCUGCAGGAGCGCAGGGACGACCGGAGAGGGCAAGGAACGUGCUCCGUGGCACCAGGAGAUGCCGAGGAGACUGGGGAGCUGACGCACAGCCAGGCUUCGGCAGCGAAGGAUCGAGCCUUGCGCAGAGCUCCGGGAGGGACUCGAGUUUCUUUGAAACCUGGAAGCCCCUCAAAGCUGCUGAAACUGAAGUGGAAGGACAAAAUUCGCUCUUCAAGGACGCAGUGGAAGCAGUUGUCCCGUAUCGGCCCUCCCAGCACGGCUGGAUUCAGCCUGGGACGACGGGACUGCCUGCCUGCGUGGCACAAUUCCACCGGUACCCUGAGACUUGUGUGAAAAAUUACCCUGCUGAAGCUACACUAAUCGCGGCAUGCAGUACGUAUACUUGCAAGCACAGUAGGCAAAGUCUGACCCUGCCAGGCACUUAG